GAUGAACGCUGGCGGCGUGCUUAACACAUGCAAGUCGAGCGGAGUUUUGUUGUAGCUUGCUACAAUGAUUCUUAGCGGCGGACGGGUGAGUAACGCGUGGGUAACCUGCCUUAUACUGGGGGAUAACGUAUUGAAAAGUACGCUAAUACCGCAUAAGCGCACAGAUCCGCAUGGAUCGGUGUGAAAAACUCCGGUGGUAUAAGAUGGACCCGCGUCUGAUUAGCUAGUUGGUGGGGUAACGGCCCACCAAGGCAACGAUCAGUAGCCGACCUGAGAGGGUGAUCGGCCACAUUGGGACUGAGACACGGCCCAAACUCCUACGGGAGGCAG
This 330-nucleotide ribosomal RNA is filed under the name uncultured Bacillota bacterium. RNAcentral describes it as "bacterial SSU rRNA". It matches the Rfam family "Bacterial small subunit ribosomal RNA", at positions 28 to 351 of the family's 1533-position model. Lineage: Bacteria; Bacillati; Bacillota. The record is from RNAcentral.